AUCAUGAGCCAUAUCACCCUGCAGCCCAAGACUGAUCGCCACACUGAAGCUAAGCAGGGUUGAGCCUGGUCAGUACCUGGAUGGGAGACCUCCUGGGAAAACUAGGUUGCUGCUGGAA
This 118-nucleotide ribosomal RNA is filed under the name Sinocyclocheilus anshuiensis. Lineage: Eukaryota; Metazoa; Chordata; Actinopteri; Cypriniformes; Cyprinidae. The record is from RNAcentral.